CAGCCGCCGCGGUAAUACGAAGGGGGCUAGCGUUGUUCGGAAUUACUGGGCGUAAAGGGCGCGUAGGCGGCCAUUCAAGUUAGAUGUGAAAGCCCUGGGCUCAACCUAGGAAUUGCAUUUGAUACUGUUUGGCUUGAGUUCGGGAGAGGUGAGUGGAAUUCCCAGUGUAGAGGUGAAAUUCGUAGAUAUUGGGAAGAACACCAGAGGCGAAGGCGGCUCACUGGACCGACACCGACGCUGAGGCGCGAAAGCGUGGGGAGCAAACAGGAUUAGAUACCCCCGUAGUCCCUGUCUCUUAUAC
This 301-nucleotide ribosomal RNA is filed under the name uncultured bacterium. RNAcentral's name for it is "partial 16S ribosomal RNA". It matches the Rfam family "Bacterial small subunit ribosomal RNA", at positions 509 to 807 of the family's 1533-position model. The record is from RNAcentral.